GGCCACCUAAAGGGGACCUGGGCCAGCCAGCAGCAGGGGCCGUCAUGCACCUUAAUCUGUUUCAAGGCCUCAGAGCCUGGCUCGCACUAGUCCUUUAUCCUGGGAUACAGCUGCCUUGCCUUUUCCUUGCUGCUCUCACCUCCUCCAGGAGGCUUUCCCUAACUAGCCGGCUACAGCCUCCCUUGCUGUGCUGGCAGACAACCUUGUGCAACUCUCUCCCGGCUCAGCAUUAACCACAUUGUCCUGGAAGUAACUGUUUAUUUACCCGGCCUUCAUCCGCGGAAUAGAAGCUCACCAACGCAGGAACCAUGCCCUGUUCAGCUUUUUCGCCCCAGGCACUUAGCAGAGUGCCAAGCAGAGCAAGCCUAAGUAAAUAUCUGGUGACCUGAACACCAGGGGCCAUGGGGCGCUGGCCUCAGGGUGGUGAGGUGCAAGGAGAACAAGACAGAAGAUGUGAAGGAGAAAGACCUAGAUUCCGGGACCUCAGCCCAGAAGCUCCUACACCCUCGCUGGUGACAGGAAGUUACCCAAGUGGCAAAACUCACUGGGGAGCUUGCCUGGGGGCUGCCCUGGGCCAAGUUUCAUUACCAGCUAUUUUUAUUUUUAGCCUUCAUCAUCUCUCAGAGUAACCAGGUCUAUAAAUGUCCAUACAAUUCGCUGCGCCUGGGCCUAGGGCAGAAGGGAGAAGCUAAAAAGGAUUGUGCUAGGCCUUGUGCUGGGCACUUUGCUGCCCUUGAUUGGCAGAUGCCUGGAUCUCGGGUGUCCCCGGUUACCUCCUAGGUUACUCACUUUGAUUCUCGGGGCAUCCCACCAUUUCCACCACCCCUCAUCAGCUCUCCUCCCACUAGGUUUUAGAAAGAGGGUCCCUGAGCACAGGUCAGUCAAUAGGUGUCAGCAGGCAGAUCCUAGCCAACCCAUGUCCCACACAAGCCCACAGGAUGGGUUAUCUGAGGCCAAUGUUUUGGGGAAUGAGAGGGCAGUCUCAGGCCUGGGGCUGGCUGGGGCUGGUGGACUCACUCAUGUGCUCCUCUCUCUUCUGGCUCCUCUGCGCUCUGCCGGGCAGCUGCUUCCAGGCUGGGCUGCUUCUAACGUGUGUCUGGGCUCCCAAGCACCCAGCACACACCCUCUCGUUCUGCUAUUGUUCCUGUAGAGUGGGGAAAGAGAGCUUGGGCUCUGCAGUCAGGCAGCUGAGCAACUGAGGGACCUCAGUUUCCUCCCCUGGAAAAAUGGGAAGAAAAACAAUAGGCCUUACUCCCAGGGUGGCUGCCCUGAGAUGAGGUAUACAAAGCUGAGGACCUUGCCUUG
RNAcentral lists this long non-coding RNA (1305 nucleotides) under Equus caballus (horse). Its description in RNAcentral is "lncRNA (ENSECAG00000047144.1)". Lineage: Eukaryota; Metazoa; Chordata; Mammalia; Perissodactyla; Equidae. The record is from RNAcentral.